ACGUAGGGGGCGAGCGUUGUCCGGAAUGACUGGGCGUAAAGGGCGCGUAGACGGUUUUUUAAGUCUGGAGUGAAAGUCCUGCUUUCAAGGUGGGAAUUGCUUUGGAGACUGGAAGUCUUGAGUGCGGAAGAGGUAAGUGGAAUUCGCAGUGUAGCGGUGAAAUGCGUAGAGAUUGGGAAGAACACCGAUUGCGAAGGCAGCUUACUGGGCCAUUACUGACGCUGAGGCGCGAAAGCGUGGGGAGCGAACAG
Molecule: ribosomal RNA, 251 nt
Filed under: uncultured prokaryote
Description: partial 16S rRNA
Rfam family: Bacterial small subunit ribosomal RNA
Source: RNAcentral